Molecule: ribosomal RNA, 492 nt
Filed under: uncultured bacterium
Lineage: Bacteria
Description: partial 16S ribosomal RNA
Rfam family: Bacterial small subunit ribosomal RNA
Source: RNAcentral
AGCGAACGCUGGCGGUAGGCUUAACACAUGCAAGUCGAACGGCAGCACAGUAAGAGCUUGCUCUUACGGGUGGCGAGUGGCGGACGGGAGAGGAAAAUAACGGAAUCUACAUUUUCGUGGGGGUUAACGUAGGGGAACCUACGAUAAUACCGCAUACGACCUACGGGUGAAAGCAGGGGAACUUCGGACCUUGUGCGAAUGAAUGCGCGGAUGUCGGAUUAGUUGGUUGGGGGGGUAAAGGCCAACCAAGGCGACGGUCCGUAGCUGGUCUGAGUGGAUGAUCAGCCACACUGGAACUGAGACACGGUCCAGACUCCUACGGGAGGCAGCAGUGGGGAAUAUUGGACAAUGGGCGCAAGCCUGAUCCAGCCAUACCGCGUGGGUGAAGAAGGCCUUCGGGUUGUAAAGCCCUUUUGUUGGGAAAGAAAAGCAGCAGGUUAAUACCCCGCUGUUCUGACGGUACCCAAAGAAUAAGCACCGGCUAACUUCGUG